UCUGAGCGAGCCUAUCUAGAUAAUUUGAA
Molecule: non-coding RNA, 29 nt
Filed under: Mus musculus (house mouse)
Lineage: Eukaryota; Metazoa; Chordata; Mammalia; Rodentia; Muridae
Source: RNAcentral